Molecule: long non-coding RNA, 5026 nt
Organism: Passer domesticus (house sparrow)
Lineage: Eukaryota; Metazoa; Chordata; Aves; Passeriformes; Passeridae
Exons: 3
Source: RefSeq, a predicted model, not a curated record
GGUAAGUGGUAUUUGGUGGUGGGUAUUUGUCCAGACACAUUUAAUGUACUAAAAUAAAGCUAUCACUAAAAACAAUGCAAUCUUCUGCAAAAACAGAUGUUUAUAUUGGGUUUGGGGUUGUUUGUUUGUUCUUUGUUUUUAUGUUACAGGUGUACUCUGUGUACAGCAUUGAAAUGUUUUCCCAAAUUACUGCAGUUCUGACCUGUACUGACUGUUCAUGCAGCUAAACUGAACAGCAGUCUUGUGCUGUAUUAUAAAGAAAAUCAGCUGUUUAAUUUAAAUUGUCAAGUUUAAAAAUGCUUUUUGUACUCUUCAAUGCCAAUGAGCAAACUACAGCACCACGAAAGAUCAAAAGCUUAGACAAUUGUGGCGACACUGCUCCCUCAAUUACUUUUAUAUAUGAUUUGUUUAAAAACAUUUCUUAGUUUGUAAAGAAUUAUAUUUUUUUUCCAUUUUGUUCUCCUGCUCCCAUAAGACUCUAACAUUAAUCAUCACAGCAGUAAUCCAUCUGAUGAUAAACUUAAGAAAUCAGCAACAGGGAAAAUAUAAAUGCUUUUAAAAUAGUACCUUUGAGAAUUAGAACUGGUUACAUUUAGAAGAAGAGAAAAAGCUGAUAAUCUCUGAUACUGGACAGGCUGUGUUGAUCUAAAGAAAAUAAUACCACUGAGUACAUGAUCGAGUGCCCUGCAGCUGGAAGAGGAGCUGUGCUCACCUGGGAGCUGACUGUGGCAGCCACUCUGUGCUACUGCCACUCUAAGGAACAUCAUCAGAUUCUUCCUUGCAUUUUCACCACACCCUGAAGGAUCUUAUGAAGUACAAGUCUUCUCUAAAAGUCCUGAAAAUACUUGGACUUGUGGAUUAUUUUCUUUUCAGAAAAGAAGGGAAAGCAGCUUUCUUUCAUCUCAUUUCUGCCAAAAACCUGCUAAGACCUAUUCACUUUAACACAUCAGUCAUAUCUUUUAACCUUUUACAUCUGACAGAGUUCUCAGAGAGAAGUCAAAAGUAAUAAUUUAUUUUUCUGUAUAUCCAUGAGUACCUGGUCAUCACCAGACAAUUAAAUUAAGUGCAUAAGUUUUAUUUCUUCUCAUUUUUUUCACCUCUUUUAUGUUUACAGCCCUCCCUGGAAAUCUGUAUUUACUGUUGGAAUGAAGGGUCCCCAAUAUCUCCUUAAAAGUUGUACUGUUUAAAGGCUAGUAGAGAACUCCUUCCUGUCAAUUCUCUUGACUACGAAGGUUGUAAAAUAGGAUGGAUUAGACAAUACUAAAGUAAUUACAAAGCAUUAAACAUUCCUGUCGAGCUAGACUGAAAUCAAAUAUUUAUACACCACUAAAUCAGUUUCUGAUUAUAAAGCUGUUGCCAAAUAGAUUCAAAUGCUAAAGGACAUGAUACUAAAUUAAUUGAAAUUUUACUGUGUUAUUUAUUUAGGCUAGUUAAACCUGUCUACAAGCCAUAAAAAUAAAGUUUAACAGUCCAGUUUUGUUAAUGAAGUUGAUGGUAAUGGAAUUACUUCACUAUUUUUAUGACAUCUUCUUGCACAGCCUUUUCUAAUAAUAAAAUUGCCACUUUAUAUCACAGCAGCCUCCAUUUGACUUAAUAUGCCAUCUCUGAUAAUGGCCAGUUCCAACACUCAGAUGAAUGUAAGAGAUCCUCUAAGCAGAGCAUUAAUGAACACAGUGUGCCCAAGGGAUGUUUCUUCUGUGCUCUGUUGACUGGAAUUUUUCUUAUAGCCUGAAGCUGAAGACUUUAUAUGCAUUCCAAAUACUUUCAAAUGUGUGAAUAUAAUGAAUCUGGGAAUGCCAAUAUCACUGAAAAAGCACAGUCUUUUUGAUCAGAUUCAGCUCCCAAAAUCUUAAUAUUUUAAUAAUGAUAAACUUGGUGUGGCUUGGUAGAAAUAUCAGCUUUAAAAUUUCUAUCUAUCUUUUAUAUCAAAUGCUCAAUUACUUUUCUUUUGUGGGGGAAGGUAAAUCUAAGUAGCAGUAUAACCUUGGUAGUAAGUCUGUUGCAUUCUCCUAGCAGAUUCUUCUUAUUGGUGUGCUAAUUAAAUAAAGUGGUCUCACUGGCAGGGAGAGAUGCAAAAUGAGCAGAUUCAUUGGGGGCCACAGAUGUAAUGAAAGCAGCUCUACCCUGAGACUGCUAACAGGAGUGCUAAUUAGUGCUGGUUACGGCAGUGCGUUUAUGGUAUGGACAGACUUCUACCAUGACUGGGUUUGAAUACCAAUUUUUGGCUCUCGUUCUCAUAAUGCAAGGAAGGAGAGAUGACACCUUGGAACCAGCUGUCCUGAGAUUCACUUGCCUCAGCGGAAUAGAACUGAGGAGAUUCUGUUCCAGCGCCAGAUUGGAAAGCUGCACACACGGCUGGAGAGCUCCCGCCUCAAACGUGCUGACAGCAUUGUUGUCGAGAAACAAGUGCUUCAGGUCUUGGAGUCCUUGAAAGUCCUGUGCUGUCACCCUUUGGAUCAGGUUAUUGCUGCAGUCGAGUUUCUGCAGCCUGCCGGGCAGCCUGAGGGGCACAGUGUGGAGCUGGUUCUUAGAGAGCUCCAGUGUUGUUAAGUUAGGAAGAAGCUGGGCACCAUCUAUUGAUGUCAGCUGAUUUUCUGACAGCAGGAACUCAGACAGAUUUUCUAGUUGUUUCACAUCUCGAAGUCUCACCAUUUUAAGUUGGUUUUUCUCUAAUUUUAGUGACAGCAGGGAUUUAGGUAGGUCUAGAGGCACUUUUGUCAGAAAAUUACCACUUAAGCUGAGAAAAUGUAGACUUUGGAAAGAUGCAAAGAAGUUGGUUGGGAAUGAAUAAAGUUUAUUAUCAGCCAUGCUCAGAUAUUUCAGCCUAGGAAGCCUAAGUGGUGCAGACACAAAUUCCAUGUUGUUGCCAUCCAGGAUCAGACUCUGUAAAUUGUAAAGGGAAGAAAAUGCACUCGGAGGCAGAGUUGCAAUCAAGUUGUUCCGAAGAUCAAGCACCCUUAGUUUCAUCAAACCUGCAAAAUCAGAUGCAUGCAGAGCAUUGAUGGAGUUGUCAGCGAGUCUUAAAACUUCAAGGCCAGAUGGGAGAAAGGUUCUUGUUUACAAAGCUUGCCAUCUUGUGUUUCAAGUUAAGCAGCAAACCUGAGUGAAUCUGGCAGAGCCCUCUAAGCUGAGAUAGGAGAAGUGUGCAAGGAGGGUGAGACAGGGAGUUCUCCAAGCACACCAGGUACUAAAAUAUUGGUUUUCUGAAAUUAGCAGAUAUGCUUCCCUUUGACCUCAGUGACUGACUCUUAAAAAAUCAUUCAUAUGGGAAUCCCCCCGAAAAGGCAACAUGAGCAAGUGUUCUGCACAGGAGUGGUGGGAAGGAGUGUCCUCAUCUGUUUUUCCUUCCCAUGUCCAAAGCCAUCUCCCUACAGGUCUCAGGCAUACCACACCAGUUUUAGAGAAGCUAAAGUGACAGUAGAUUCUUCCUGCUAUUUCCCCCAGGGCUUGGUGGCUCCCAGCACAUUUAGCUCUCAGGAAGCUAUAGAGCCUGUUCUACAGCAUAACCCCUCAUCCCAGUCAGGAAUCUGCAUGGAGGACAGUCCAAGUCCUUUUGCAGUACAGGUGCUGGGUAGUAAUUUUGAUCCAUAGUCCUGGUUGGAUACAUUUGACUAUCAUACUUCUGUUAAGUGAAAUCAGCUCAUAAAGGUGACUGUUAAAAGAGGUCUUACACUUUCAUUUAUCCAACUCUUGCAUAUUUUUGGGCUGUAUCUCUUUAUCUCAGCUCUGCAUUUUAACUUCUGUUAAAAUUUUAAAAUUAAAGCCUGCACAGCUGUGAAAGACGAGUCAGAUUUCAUUUUGCUGCGGUAUCCUUAGUUUAUCUUUCUGAUUAACUUGAUUCUGUCUUGCAAAGCAAUUUCUGAAUUGCAAAUUUUGAUGCAAUUACUGAGAAAGUAUAGAUAUGGAACCUCUAUUGAAGCAGGUUUCUCCACCAACUAUAUAUUAAUUCAAUGAGGGAAUAUACCUCCAUUAAAAACCUUAUAUUUUCAACAGUAACCAACAAAGUUGUCCAAAUUAUAUUACUUUAUUUUUCCAUAAUGCAGUGUUGUGUGUAUAUAUAGGUAUAUAGCAACAUCAGAACUGCUGAUGCCCAGUUUUGGUCAUGAUUAGGAAUGUAAUCUUAUACAUAGGAAUGAGCUGCAUUGGUCAAGAGCACAAAAACAUAAUCACAUGUAAUUAUAAAACCAUCUUAUGGAAAUUGAAACAAUUAUGAACCUUCACAAUUCAACACAUUUUCUCCUAGAAAACACAAAAGCAAUGUUUUCUGCUUUACAUCAGUUGAUUUCUGUAUGUCUCUGAGAGGCUUAAUUUUCAUCUUACUGAGAGACAGAGAGCUACGUGAAGGUCAAUGUACAGACAUUUAUUCUGUAAUGAUGUUAGGCUUCUUAAUGUGGAUUAUUAUAAUUUCUAUUUUCCACCUAUUUGGUAUGCAUUGCUAAGCUUUGUAACCAUACUGUUUUGAGACUUAAAUAUUUAUCCAUGCUUUUAUAAACCACCCAGUCUUUCUAAUACAAAUCAAAACAUAUUUGAAAGCUGACCAAAUCUUUUUUUUGCUAGGAAGCAGUGUUUUAUUUUCUAACUGGAUUGUCUGUAAAAUGAUACUAUUAUAGCUUUAUAUUUUAAAACACUGAUCUCUUGAAAGUUGAUCUAAUAUGCUGUUAUUUAAUACAAGUGUUUUAAGGCAUUUGCUUGUUUAAUUAUUUUUUUUUUGGCUUUUCGAGUUGCUGUGACCUGGAAUAUGUUAUAAGCAGAUUUUUGAAACAGUUCCCUAUGCUGGAAGCAAGGUAGAUGAUUUUCUUUUAGCAGAUAUUUAGCACUUAUUAAUAUAGUUAGAUAUAUAUUAAAUUUUUAAUUAAGAGUAAAAAGGUUGUAGUUGAUCUUCAAGUCAAGGAGGAAGCAGAAAAUAUUGAAAAAAGAUGCUAAAAUUAAUCUAGUUUUGCUAUUAUAAAGCCUUUUUAUAACAAACCCAAGGUUGUAAAAUUACCAAAAGUGAAAAUGCCAGACACUGUUUUUAAUGCUGAUCAGC